RNAcentral lists this non-coding RNA (28 nucleotides) under Mus musculus (house mouse). The record is from RNAcentral. Lineage: Eukaryota; Metazoa; Chordata; Mammalia; Rodentia; Muridae.
UGCCAUUUCUGAUACUCUCUGUGAGGGU